RNAcentral lists this non-coding RNA (166 nucleotides) under Candidatus Microgenomates bacterium. Lineage: Bacteria; Candidatus Microgenomatota. The record is from RNAcentral.
UUAAUUUUAAAGACGUGUGGUGUACUUCCACAUUCAGUUUAUUACAUGAAUGUGGUAAGGUACAAAAAGGGAAUUCCGUGCAAUUCGGAGACUGUGCCGCAACGGUGAUUUUAGUUUACUGAUGAACUAGAUAAGUCCGGAGACCGACCACACCCCGAUUAGAUCG